This 442-nucleotide ribosomal RNA is filed under the name uncultured bacterium. RNAcentral describes it as "bacterial SSU rRNA". It matches the Rfam family "Bacterial small subunit ribosomal RNA", at positions 339 to 797 of the family's 1533-position model. The record is from RNAcentral.
GUACGGAAGGCGGCAGUGGGGAAUAUUGCACAAUGGGGGAAACCCUGAUGCAGCAACGCCGCGUGAGCGAUGAAGGCCUUCGGGUUGUAAAGCUCUGUCUUUGGGGACGAAAAAUGACGGUACCCAAGGAGGAAGCCACGGCUAACUACGUGCCAGCAGCCGCGGUAAUACGUAGGUGGCAAGCGUUGUCCGGAAUUACUGGGCGUAAAGAAUGCGUAGGCGGCUUUUUAAGUGGGAUGUGAAAUCCCUGGGCUCAACCCAGGAACUGCAUUUCAAACUGGAAGGCUAGAGUGCGGGAGAGGAAAUUGGUAUUCCCAGUGUAGCGGUGAAAUGCGUAGAGAUUGGGAGGAACACCAGUAGCGAAGGCGAAUUUCUGGAACGUAACUGACGCUGAGGCAUGAAAGCGUGGGGAGCAAACAGGAUUAGAAACCCCAGUAGUCCU